RNAcentral lists this ribosomal RNA (404 nucleotides) under uncultured bacterium. RNAcentral describes it as "bacterial SSU rRNA". It matches the Rfam family "Bacterial small subunit ribosomal RNA", at positions 355 to 774 of the family's 1533-position model. The record is from RNAcentral.
UGGGGGAUAUUGCGCAAUGGGGGAAACCCUGACGCAGCAACGCCGCGUGAAGGACGAAGGUUUUCGGAUUGUAAACUUCUUUUGUUAGGGACGAAGAAAUGACGGUACCUGACGAAUAAGCUCCGGCUAACUACGUGCCAGCAGCCGCGGUAAUACGUAGGGAGCGAGCGUUGUCCGGAAUUACUGGGUGUAAAGGGUGCGUAGGCGGCAGAGCAAGUCAGAUGUGAAAUACACGGGCUUAACCCGUGGGCUGCAUUUGAAACUGUUCAGCUUGAGUGGAGCAGAGGCAGGCGGAAUUCCCGGUGUAGCGGUGAAAUGCGUAGAGAUCGGGAGGAACACCAGUGGCGAAGGCGGCCUGCUGGGCUUUAACUGACGCUGAGGCACGAAAGCGUGGGUAGCAAACA